This 463-nucleotide ribosomal RNA is filed under the name uncultured bacterium. RNAcentral's name for it is "partial 16S ribosomal RNA". It matches the Rfam family "Bacterial small subunit ribosomal RNA", at positions 28 to 507 of the family's 1533-position model. The record is from RNAcentral.
GAUGAACGCUGACAGAAUGCUUAACACAUGCAAGUCUUUGGCGAAGCUGUGCUUGCACAGCCUAGCCAAGGCGGACGGGUGAGUAACGCGUAAGGAACUUGCCCUGCAGUCAGGGAUAACAGACGGAAACGACUGAUAAGACCUGGUAAAGUCAGGCGGACUCAUGUCCAGCCUGAUGAAAAGAGAUGCUGCAGGAGAGCCUUGCGUCCUAUUAGCUUGUUGGUGGGGUAACGGCCCACCAAGGCGAUGAUAGGUAGCCGGCCUGAGAGGGUGGACGGCCACAAGGGGACUGAGAUACGGCCCUUACUCCUACGGGAGGCAGCAGUGGGGAAUAUUGGACAAUGGGGGCAACCCUGAUCCAGCAAUUCUGUGUGCACGAUGAAGGUUUUCGGAUUGUAAAGUGCUUUUAGCAGGGAAGAAAAAAAUGACGGUACCUGCAGAAGAAGCGACGGCUAAAUACGUG